This 2143-nucleotide ribosomal RNA is filed under the name Salmonella enterica subsp. enterica serovar Enteritidis. RNAcentral's name for it is "partial 23S ribosomal RNA". It matches the Rfam family "Bacterial large subunit ribosomal RNA", at positions 677 to 2803 of the family's 2925-position model. Lineage: Bacteria; Pseudomonadati; Pseudomonadota; Gammaproteobacteria; Enterobacterales; Enterobacteriaceae. The record is from RNAcentral.
CCGAGUCUUAAUUGGGCGUUAAGUUGCAGGGUAUAGACCCGAAACCCGGUGAUCUAGCCAUGGGCAGGUUGAAGGUUGGGUAACACUAACUGGAGGACCGAACCGACUAAUGUUGAAAAAUUAGCGGAUGACCUGUGGCUGGGGGUGAAAGGCCAAUCAAACCGGGAGAUAGCUGGUUCUCCCCGAAAGCUAUUUAGGUAGCGCCUCGUGAAUUCAUCUCCGGGGGUAGAGCACUGUUUCGGCUAGGGGGCCAUCCCGGCUUACCAACCCGAUGCAAACUGCGAAUACCGGAGAAUGUUAUCACGGGAGACACACGGCGGGUGCUAACGUCCGUCGUGAAGAGGGAAACAACCCAGACCGCCAGCUAAGGUCCCAAAGUCAUGGUUAAGUGGGAAACGAUGUGGGAAGGCCCAGACAGCCAGGAUGUUGGCUUAGAAGCAGCCAUCAUUUAAAGAAAGCGUAAUAGCUCACUGGUCGAGUCGGCCUGCGCGGAAGAUGUAACGGGGCUAAACCAUGCACCGAAGCUGCGGCAGCGACACUGUGUGUUGUUGGGUAGGGGAGCGUUCUGUAAGCCUGCGAAGGUGGCCUGUGAGGGUUGCUGGAGGUAUCAGAAGUGCGAAUGCUGACAUAAGUAACGAUAAAGCGGGUGAAAAGCCCGCUCGCCGGAAGACCAAGGGUUCCUGUCCAACGUUAAUCGGGGCAGGGUGAGUCGACCCCUAAGGCGAGGCCGAAAGGCGUAGUCGAUGGGAAACGGGUUAAUAUUCCCGUACUUGGUGUUACUGCGAAGGGGGGACGGAGAAGGCUAUGUUGGCCGGGCGACGGUUGUCCCGGUUUAAGCGUGUAGGCUGGUUUUCCAGGCAAAUCCGGAAAAUCAAGGCUGAGGCGUGAUGACGAGGCACUACGGUGCUGAAGCAACAAAUGCCCUGCUUCCAGGAAAAGCCUCUAAGCAUCAGGUAACAUCAAAUCGUACCCCAAACCGACACAGGUGGUCAGGUAGAGAAUACCAAGGCGCUUGAGAGAACUCGGGUGAAGGAACUAGGCAAAAUGGUGCCGUAACUUCGGGAGAAGGCACGCUGACACGUAGGUGAAGUGAUUUACUCAUGGAGCUGAAGUCAGUCGAAGAUACCAGCUGGCUGCAACUGUUUAUUAAAAACACAGCACUGUGCAAACACGAAAGUGGACGUAUACGGUGUGACGCCUGCCCGGUGCCGGAAGGUUAAUUGAUGGGGUCAGCGCAAGCGAAGCUCCUGAUCGAAGCCCCGGUAAACGGCGGCCGUAACUAUAACGGUCCUAAGGUAGCGAAAUUCCUUGUCGGGUAAGUUCCGACCUGCACGAAUGGCGUAAUGAUGGCCAGGCUGUCUCCACCCGAGACUCAGUGAAAUUGAACUCGCUGUGAAGAUGCAGUGUACCCGCGGCAAGACGGAAAGACCCCGUGAACCUUUACUAUAGCUUGACACUGAACAUUGAGCCUUGAUGUGUAGGAUAGGUGGGAGGCUUUGAAGUGUGGACGCCAGUCUGCAUGGAGCCGACCUUGAAAUACCACCCUUUAAUGUUUGAUGUUCUAACGUGGACCCGUUACCCGGGUUGCGGACAGUGUCUGGUGGGUAGUUUGACUGGGGCGGUCUCCUCCUAAAGAGUAACGGAGGAGCACGAAGGUUGGCUAAUCCUGGUCGGACAUCAGGAGGUUAGUGCAAUGGCAUAAGCCAGCUUGACUGCGAGCGUGACGGCGCGAGCAGGUGCGAAAGCAGGUCAUAGUGAUCCGGUGGUUCUGAAUGGAAGGGCCAUCGCUCAACGGAUAAAAGGUACUCCGGGGAUAACAGGCUGAUACCGCCCAAGAGUUCAUAUCGACGGCGGUGUUUGGCACCUCGAUGUCGGCUCAUCACAUCCUGGGGCUGAAGUAGGUCCCAAGGGUAUGGCUGUUCGCCAUUUAAAGUGGUACGCGAGCUGGGUUUAGAACGUCGUGAGACAGUUCGGUCCCUAUCUGCCGUGGGCGCUGGAGAACUGAGGGGGGCUGCUCCUAGUACGAGAGGACCGGAGUGGACGCAUCACUGGUGUUCGGGUUGUCAUGCCAAUGGCACUGCCCGGUAGCUAAAUGCGGAAGAGAUAAGUGCUGAAAGCAUCUAAGCACGAAACUUGCCCCGAG